Molecule: ribosomal RNA, 300 nt
Filed under: uncultured Desulfotomaculum sp.
Lineage: Bacteria; Bacillati; Bacillota; Clostridia; Eubacteriales; Desulfotomaculaceae
Description: bacterial SSU rRNA
Rfam family: Bacterial small subunit ribosomal RNA (bases 53-300)
Source: RNAcentral
GGAAGUUGGUGUGGGGCGUGGCGUGUAAGAGGGAGGUUGGGAGGGGUAAGCUGAAUUGCGGGGUGUAAGGUGGGCGUAGGGGGUGUUGUAGUCUAGAUGGGAAAUCCGCGGGCUUAAGCUGGGAAUUGCGUUUGGGACUGGGAGGCUGGAGGGCGGCAGAGGAGACUGGAAUUCCGGGUGUAGCAGUGAAAUGCGUAGAUAUCAGGAGGAACACCGAUGACGAAGGCAGGUCUCUGGGCUGACACUGACGCUCAUGCACGAAAGCGUGGGGAGCAAACAGGAUUAGAUACCCUUGUAGUC